Molecule: long non-coding RNA, 220 nt
Filed under: Daucus carota (carrot)
Lineage: Eukaryota; Viridiplantae; Streptophyta; Magnoliopsida; Apiales; Apiaceae
Description: long non-coding RNA (DCAR_LNC007278)
Source: RNAcentral
CUGUAUAUUUACCAUAAGUCUUUGAGUUCAUUCCUUGGCUGUUUAUGCUCAAAAUUGUAUUAGUUAAUUGUGCUAUAGCAUAACCUGAUUUAUAAGCUAUUGUAUAUCUUAGCUUACUAGGAUUUAAGGAGACGCUCUAUAUCAGAACACUUGUACCUUGAUACGUUUCUAGAUGUGUGUUGAUUUACUAUGUUAUAUUCUUUAUAAACUUCUUACAGUC